CACAGAGCGCACGAAACACGUAUAGACUGGUUCGCCAUCUUUUGUGUUAUUAUUAUUAAAUAAGAGUAAUUUUAAUAGUAAAAAUAUUUGUUUAAGAUUCAUCGACUUUUAAAAUGACGUUCCCUCUACAAGAAUUCAAACAAGGAAAUGACAUACACUAUAAGGUAACGGGGAGCAAAAUGUUAUUUGUUCCCACAUCAGUCCACUACGACUUUAAGAAAAUUGUUGGAAACGAAGACUUAGAUAAAGGAUUGAAUGCCCUAAUGGAUAAAAACUGGUUAAAUAUUGCGAUAUUUUGGCAACGGCUGUUCCCCGGGAUGUUUAUUCGAAGUUUUGAAAAACUAUUUAAUAAUCUGUUGGAAAAAGUGCCUGUGGUUGACUUGUUCGAUGGGGUCUAGUCCAACGAGGUGGAAUUGCACAUUUUCAGUUGCCCGUUAUACAACUUUUUUGUUUAACUUUAGUAUUUUUUUGUUAAAUGGGUGCUCACGUUUGUCUUUUACGAGAAAAUAAAGUUUUAUGUUAUCGAA
Molecule: long non-coding RNA, 527 nt
Organism: Zophobas morio
Lineage: Eukaryota; Metazoa; Arthropoda; Insecta; Coleoptera; Tenebrionidae
Exons: 2
Source: RefSeq, a predicted model, not a curated record